GCAACAUCCGAAGCCGUGCGGUCCCGUGCGGACUUUACGUGAACUCGGCACAGUUCAUUAAUAGUGACUGUUAACUUUUUAUCGCGUGUUAGUGAUGGUAUCUGAGUGAAACUUAAAUUCUGUUCGUUAUCAAUGGAGGCUAUUUAGAUAUUGGCGUGGCGAUCGUGCCGACCACGAUACAGACAUCAUGCUUUUUAUACUUCUGCUGGCUCUCGGAAUAUUGUUCACAAAUGUGUCAUCGGACACGCCGGUUCGGUUGGGCCCCGUGUUCACGGUGGAGCCGC
Molecule: long non-coding RNA, 284 nt
Organism: Vanessa atalanta (red admiral)
Lineage: Eukaryota; Metazoa; Arthropoda; Insecta; Lepidoptera; Nymphalidae
Exons: 3
Source: RefSeq, a predicted model, not a curated record